RNAcentral lists this long non-coding RNA (1617 nucleotides) under Heterocephalus glaber (naked mole-rat). RNAcentral's name for it is "lncRNA (ENSHGLG00100033475.1)". The record is from RNAcentral. Lineage: Eukaryota; Metazoa; Chordata; Mammalia; Rodentia; Bathyergidae.
GAGCGUGACGGUGACGCUGACUCCAGCAGCCAGUGGGGGAGGGGGAGUGGCCUCAGUCGGGAUGGAUCCGGGGGUUCUGGGGCUCUGAGGUGAAGUGUGGGAGCACUCUGUUCACUUCUGGAGGACCUGAAGGCUUUGCCAUUGCCUUGUGGGAGUUUUUGUAGACGUUCCUGGAAAUGCAGGCGUGGACCUUGUGUACAUUUUGAUUAAAACCAGGUGUGGGAGCUGCUGCCGAAGGCUUUGUUUGAGGUACCCGAGGUGGGGGAAGAGGCUUGAGAGGCGAGGACUCCCAAGUACCCCAAGGGGAUGCUGGGCCUGGGUGACUUCAGGACUAGUUACCCAGUGGUAAUUCAGGAGCCUGGAAGAGCUCCAAAUCCAAGGAUAGAGGGAGGCCCUUCCAGCCCGCCCGCUCCCCCCCCCCAGGCCAUACCCAUCAGGCCUUGCUUCUCCCUUCAGGCACACGAAUCCCUAACUGCUGUGUAAGACUGAUAACGCUUUACCGAAGAGGACCUUGGGCUCCUAAGUCACAAGUUUAGCUCCCUCAGCCCUCAGGCCUCAGAUCAGUGGGCUGGGAGUGAUAAAGAGAACAAUCCCUGCCCACAGGACUUGUUUCCCUCAGAUAAAGGAAGCCUUCCUGCCAAGACGAGAUUCUCUCUAGAGGGGGUCUCAGGGUGGUUUUCAAAUUAUCUGUAGCAGAAUUGUUGCAACAGUACAAGUUUUGGGGAGGGGGUGUAGAGGGGGAGGAGCCUUCCUAAAUUGCCCAGGUUGGCUUUGAACUAGAGAUCCUCCUGCCUCAGCUCCAGAGUAUUGGCAUUAUAGGCUUGCACCUCACACCAGACUGCAAAAUAUAAUGUUAUGUGAGACCCCCAAUUGUGAGAGGGACAAAGUGGAGAGGCUCUGAGUGAAGUUCUCUCUGAGCAGCUUGAUAGGUUCUGCCUUUAUCGCAAGGCACUACUGGAGCAGCUGGCUGGUGGGAGAAAUGGGAAGUGGCAUCACUCAGGUCUGGUGGCAGCCUUGUGAACCCCAGCUUGUCACUGUCCCCCACAGCAGCUCCCCUGGGGCCAGACCCCAGGAUGGGUGAGGUCCUGGCAGCCAGCAUUGCUUUCUUCCUGGGCUGACCUUUCUUCUAGGCCAGGGGACAAGUGGGACUCCCAGACUAGACAGGGCCAGCCCUGUCCCUAUUUCCCCUCAAUGGGGUUCUCUUGCUCAUAGUCUGAGGAAGAACUAUGACUCACUUCCUGCCUCAGUCUCACUGCGGGAGUAUUGUUCUCCCAACUGUGGUUGGUGCUGGCAGGGACUACCCCAGGGUGGCCCCUACGAGCUUGGCUCCCUGGGGGGGGGAGUCCCCAAACUGGAAAGUGGCCAACUUGGACUUAGAGGCUUAUCUCCCAACUUUGAGAACUCUACAUUCUUCAGGUUUCCAGUUUCUAUAGUGUCUGUGAGGGUGUCCCAAUAGUACCUGAUCCCACUAUCUUAAUAUUAUUUCCAUUUUGGAGGGGUAAAUUGAGGCUUUGAGAAAUGAAAGUGGUCCAAUACAAAAUAGUGUCCGGGGAUUAGAACCCAAGCUGCCUGGCUGACUUUCCAGAUAAUAUGAGUUGCCUCCAGAAUAGUAUUGGG